GUGCCUAAUACAUGCAAGUCAACGGCUUUUCUAUGGAAGCUUGCUUCCACUGAGAAGAUAGUGGCGAACGGGUGAGUAACACGUGGGUAACCCUGCCCAUAAGAGGGGGAUAACAUCCGGAAACGGGUGCUAAUACCGCAUAGUUUUCUUGAUCGCAUGAUCGGAAAGGAAAGACGGCCUUUGUGCUGUCGCUUAUGGAUGGACCCGCGGCGUAUUAGUUAGUUGGUGAGGUAACGGCUCACCAAGACGAUGAUACGUAGCCGACCUGAGAGGGUGAUCGGCCACAUUGGGACUGAGACACGGCCCAAACUCCUACGGGAGGCAGCAGUAGGGAAUCUUCCGCAAUGGACGAAAGUCUGACGGAGCAACGCCGCGUGAGUGAAGAAAGGUUUUCGGAUCGUAAAACUCUGUUGUCAGAGAAGAACAAGUUGGAGAGUAACUGCUCCAGCCUUGACGGUAUCUGACCAGAAAGCCACGGCUAACUACGUGCCAGCAGCCGC
This 500-nucleotide ribosomal RNA is filed under the name uncultured bacterium. RNAcentral's name for it is "bacterial SSU rRNA". It matches the Rfam family "Bacterial small subunit ribosomal RNA", at positions 44 to 518 of the family's 1533-position model. The record is from RNAcentral.